Molecule: ribosomal RNA, 442 nt
Filed under: uncultured Succinivibrio sp.
Lineage: Bacteria; Pseudomonadati; Pseudomonadota; Gammaproteobacteria; Aeromonadales; Succinivibrionaceae
Description: bacterial SSU rRNA
Rfam family: Bacterial small subunit ribosomal RNA
Source: RNAcentral
UGAGGAAUAUUGGUCAAUGGGCGAGAGCCUGAACCAGCCAAGUAGCGUGAGGGAUGACUGCCCUAUGGGUUGUAAACCUCUUUUGAUUGGGAACAAAGAGCGCCACGUGUGGUGCGUUGCGUGUACCUUUCGAAUAAGCACCGGCUAACUCCGUGCCAGCAGCCGCGGUAAUACGGAGGGUGCAAGCGUUAAUCGGAAUAACUGGGCGUAAAGGGCAUGCAGGCGGUUCAUCAAGUAGGAUGUGAAAUCCCCGGGCUCAACCUGGGAACAGCAUACUAAACUGGUGGACUAGAGUAUUGCAGGGGGAGACGGAAUUCCAGGUGUAGCGGUGGAAUGCGUAGAUAUCUGGAAGAACACCAAAGGCGAAGGCAGUCUCCUGGGCAAAUACUGACGCUCAUAUGCGAAAGCGUGGGUAGCAAACAGGAUUAGAUACCCUGGUAGU